GUCAAUGCUUCCCCUGGUCACUGGAAAGACUUGGGUUUGAAUCCUAACUGGCUGCAGUUUGCUUGUAACAUUAUUUGGGGCUUGGUUUCGAGUCCUAUGGGCUUGGGUUCGAGUCUUAGCCAGUGCAAAAUGCCUCUAGGAUUAAUAAAAAAUAUAGGUUUCGAGUCCUAUGGGCUUGGGUUCGAGUCUUAGCCAGUGCAAAAUGCCUCUAGGAUUAAU
This 219-nucleotide long non-coding RNA is filed under the name Phaseolus vulgaris (common bean). RNAcentral's name for it is "long non-coding RNA (PVUL_LNC001320)". The record is from RNAcentral. Lineage: Eukaryota; Viridiplantae; Streptophyta; Magnoliopsida; Fabales; Fabaceae.